RNAcentral lists this non-coding RNA (148 nucleotides) under Pan paniscus (pygmy chimpanzee). Lineage: Eukaryota; Metazoa; Chordata; Mammalia; Primates; Hominidae. The record is from Rfam by way of RNAcentral. RNAcentral also lists the same sequence under 1 other name.
GCCAGGCGUGGUGGCGCGUGCCUGUAAUCCCAGCUACUCAGGAGGCUGAGGCAUGAGAAUCACUUGAACCCAGGAGGUGGAGGUUGCAGUGAGCUGAGAUCGUGCCACUGCACUCCAGCCUGGGCAACAGAGUGAGACUCUGUCUUUA